UUAAACUGAAGAGUUUGAUCAUGGCUCAGAUUGAACGCUGGCGGCAGGCUUAACACAUGCAAGUCGAACGGUAACGGGUUGAAAGCUUGCUUUCGACGCUGACGAGUGGCGGACGGGUGAGUAAUGCUUGGGAAUCUGGCUUAUGGAGGGGGAUAACCAUUGGAAACGAUGGCUAAUACCGCAUAGUAUCGAG
RNAcentral lists this ribosomal RNA (193 nucleotides) under Avibacterium paragallinarum. RNAcentral describes it as "partial 16S ribosomal RNA". It matches the Rfam family "Bacterial small subunit ribosomal RNA", at positions 1 to 183 of the family's 1533-position model. The record is from RNAcentral. Lineage: Bacteria; Pseudomonadati; Pseudomonadota; Gammaproteobacteria; Pasteurellales; Pasteurellaceae.